AACGAACGCUGGCGGCAUGCCUAACACAUGCAAGUCGAACGAGACCUUCGGGUCUAGUGGCGCACGGGUGCGUAACGCGUGGGAACCUGCCCUAAGGUUCGGAAUAACUCCCCGUAAGGGGUGCUAAUACCGGAUAAUGUCUGCGGACCAAAGAUUUAUCGCCUUUGGAUGGGCCCGCGUUGGAUUAGCCAGUUGGUAGGGUAAAAGCCUACCAAGGCGACGAUCCAUAGCUGGUCUGAGAGGAAGAUCAGCCACACUGGGACUGAGACACGGCCCAGACUCCUACGGGAGGCAGCAGUGGGGAAUAUUGGACAAUGGGCGAAAGCCUGAUCCAGCAAUGCCGCGUGAGUGAUGAAGGCCUUAAGGUUGUAAAGCUCUUUUACCCGGGAUGAUAAUGACAGUACCGGGAGAAUAAGCUCCGGCUAACUCCGUG
Molecule: ribosomal RNA, 433 nt
Filed under: uncultured bacterium
Lineage: Bacteria
Description: partial 16S ribosomal RNA
Rfam family: Bacterial small subunit ribosomal RNA
Source: RNAcentral